Molecule: ribosomal RNA, 492 nt
Filed under: uncultured bacterium
Lineage: Bacteria
Description: partial 16S ribosomal RNA
Rfam family: Bacterial small subunit ribosomal RNA
Source: RNAcentral
AGUGAACGCUGGCGGUAGGCCUAACACAUGCAAGUCGAACGGCAGCACAGUAAGAGCUUGCUCUUACGGGUGGCGAGUGGCGUACGGGUGAGGAAUAUAUCGGAAUCUACUUUUUCGUGGGGGAUAACGUAGGGAAACCUACGCUAAUACCGCAUACGACCCACGGGUGAAAGCAGGGGAUCUUUGGACCUUGUGCGAUUGAAUGAGCCGAUGUCGGAUUAGCUAGUUGGCGGGGUAAAGGCCCACCAAGUCGACGAUCCGUAGCUGGUCUGAGAGGAUGAUCGGCCACACUGGAACUGAGACACGGUCCAGACUCCUACGGGAGGCAGCAGUGGGGAAUAUUGGACAAUGGGCGCAAGCCUGAUCCAGCCAUACCGCGUGGGUGAAGAAGGCCUUCGGGUUGUAAAGCCCUUUUGUUGGGAAAGAAAAGCAGCAGGUUAAUACCCCGCUGUUCUGACGGUACCCAAAGAAUAAGCACCGGCUAACUUCGUG